RNAcentral lists this long non-coding RNA (979 nucleotides) under Fragaria vesca (wild strawberry). RNAcentral's name for it is "long non-coding RNA (FVES_LNC003238)". Lineage: Eukaryota; Viridiplantae; Streptophyta; Magnoliopsida; Rosales; Rosaceae. The record is from RNAcentral.
AUGAGCAGAAGUAAUACUAAAUCAGCAAUUCACUUGAAAUCGGUAAAAACGAUCAUUGAGGUCUGGUACUGCAACACAAAGAAAACCCAAAUCAGUUCAAAUCAAGGGAAACAAAAAAAUCCAAUCGAAAAUUCGAUACACGACCCACUAACUCAUAACGAAUUCUGAGCUAAAACAAAAAAGAAGAAGAAACCGUCAAAUCAGAUUCUCACAAAUCUGUUCCACAAUCAGUUCUAAAUUCCCAAAAUCUCUGUUUCGAAAUCUCUGUUUAGUAAAACUAAGAGAGGUUUUUCAUGUCCGGGGUUGUACCAGUACGACGUCGACGUCGACGCCGCGUAAGGGUAAUCGGAGUACUCCAUUUUGUUCACCACUGCGCCUCCACUACCGGUGGCGGCAACUUUCUUCUUCUUCUCUUUCUUCUCUCCUCCGGGGGCAGCUUCCUUCUUCCCUCUUUCUUUUAUUCCACAAUCAGAUUUUCUAUGGAGGUAUGAAGAGGAAGAAGACAUGCAAUAAGGUCAAGGGGAACCGAAGAGUGAAAAACAGAGCGAAACAACAUAUGGUGGUAUCUUUCAUAAGCCGUAUGACACGUUAGGUCUUAGCUGGCAAGAGGUGGCAGCUAACAUAAAUAAACGUAAAGCAAGGACGAGACCAUAAUAUCAUGCAGUCCUUAGCUACAGUAACCCAGAUAUAGUAUAUAAAUAAACGUAAAGCAAGGACGGGACCAUAAUAUCAUGCAGUCUUUAGCUACAGUAACCCAGAUAUAGUAUAUAGUAAAUAAAUUAUCCAACCACAUCCAACACGGGUGUCUCACGAAUUUGUUCUAUUUUAACCAUGUACGUGACUAUCGCUCUACGAGGUUUUUUUUUCUUUUGUGUCAAGGCUUGGUGUGCCAUAAUUGCUUGCUAUGCAGAUAAGAUCUGGAUGCGUUACACUUACAAAAUCACAGAAGAAGAGUUUGUAGGUCUUCGUUAAAAGCUUG